RNAcentral lists this transfer-messenger RNA (318 nucleotides) under Salmonella enterica. RNAcentral's name for it is "partial transfer-messenger RNA". It matches the Rfam family "transfer-messenger RNA", at positions 1 to 328 of the family's 374-position model. From Rfam's summary of the family: Bacterial tmRNA, also known as 10Sa RNA or SsrA, is named for its dual tRNA and mRNA-like properties. Its role is to liberate the mRNA from a stalled ribosome. RNAcentral also lists the same sequence under 1 other name. The record is from RNAcentral. Lineage: Bacteria; Pseudomonadati; Pseudomonadota; Gammaproteobacteria; Enterobacterales; Enterobacteriaceae.
GGGGCUGAUUCUGGAUUCGACGGGAUUUGCGAAACCCAAGGUGCAUGCCGAGGGGCGGUUGGCCUCGUAAAAAGCCGCAAAAAAAUAGUCGCAAACGACGAAACCUACGCUUUAGCAGCUUAAUAACCUGCUUAGAGCCCUCUCUCCCUAGCCUCCGCUCUUAGGACGGGGAUCAAGAGAGGUCAAACCCAAAAGAGAUCGCGCGGAUGCCCUGCCUGGGGUUGAAGCGUUAAAACGAAUCAGGCUAGUCUGGUAGUGGCGUGUCCGUCCGCAGGUGCCAGGCGAAUGUAAAGACUGACUAAGCAUGUAGUACCGAGG